AACGCUAGCUACAGGCUUAACACAUGCAAGUCGAGGGGCAGCAUGAUUGAAGCUUGCUUCAAUUGAUGGCGACCGGCGCACGGGUGAGUAACACGUAUCCAACCUGCCGAUAACUCGGGGAUAGCCUUUCGAAAGAAAGAUUAAUACCCGAUAGUAUAGUAUUUCCGCAUGGUUUCACUAUUAAAGAAUUUCGGUUAUCGAUGGGGAUGCGUUCCAUUAGAUAGUUGGCGGGGUAACGGCCCACCAAGCCAUCGAUCAGUAGGGGUUCUGAGAGGAAGGUCCCCCACAUUGGAACUGAGACACGGUCCAAACUCCUACGGGAGGCAGCAGUGAGGAAUAUUGGUCAAUGGGCGCGAGCCUGAACCAGCCAAGUAGCGUGAGGGAUGACGGCCCUAUGGGUUGUAAACCUCUUUUAUGCGGGAAUAAAAUGUUUGACGUGUCAUACAUUGUAGGUACCGCAAGAAUAAGGACCGGCUAAUUCCGUGCCAGCAGCCGCGGUAAUACGGAAGGUCCAGGCGUUAUCCGGAUUUAUUGGGUUUAAAGGGAGCGUAGGCCGCAAGUCAAGCGUGUUGUGAAAUGCAGGGGCUCAACCUCUGGAUUGCAGCGCGAACUGGCAUGCUUGAGUACGCACGAGGUAGGCGGAAUUUGUGGUGUAGCGGUGAAAUGCUUAGAUAUCACGAAGAACUCCGAUUG
RNAcentral lists this ribosomal RNA (693 nucleotides) under uncultured bacterium. Its description in RNAcentral is "bacterial SSU rRNA". It matches the Rfam family "Bacterial small subunit ribosomal RNA", at positions 32 to 715 of the family's 1533-position model. The record is from RNAcentral.